CCGUUGACAAGUAAAUCAUUGUCAGUGUGAAACGAGUAUUGCCCGUAACAGUAUAUUUAGUCGUAGUUCUAAUCAUAGUUCUCGUUUUUAUAAAUAUUUUUCUAAUGUUUCUCGACGAUAUUUAAGAUGCAACCAAGAAAAAUUCGUUGGAUUAUUCAAAUUGAAGAAAAUCCAUGGCAAGGUGAGAGCGUCGAGGAGCAAAUUUCUUGCAUUAAAGAUGAGCGGGAAGAUGUGCAAAAGAAAACGUUUGCAAAAUGGAUAAAUUCGCAAUUACUUAAGAAUCAUCACGAGCCGAUUUCUGAUUUGUUCGUUGAUUUACGAGAUGGCAAUCGGUUAUUGUCUCUCCUGGAAGUUCUCACGUCUAAAGUCUAUAAAAGAGAACGCGGUCGAAUGAGAGUUCAUCAUUUGAAUAAUGUUAAUAAAGCUUUGCAAAUUCUUGAACAAAAUAAUGUAAAACUCGUAAAUAUUAGCAGUAACGAUAUAGUUGAUGGGAAUCCUAAGCUAACACUUGGAUUAGUAUGGAGUAUUAUUCUACACUGGCAGGUACAUUACCAUCUGAAAGAUUUAAUGACAGAACUACAACAGACGAAUUUAGAGAAAACUCUUUUAGCAUGGUGUCGUCAGAAUUCACAGAAUUAUUCUGGAGUUGAUAUUAAAAAUUUUACUACAUCUUGGUCAGAUGGUUUAGCAUUCAAUGCUAUUCUUCAUAAAUGGAAACCGCAUUUAUUUGAUUUUAAUAACAUAGCGCGUAAACAUCCCAAUGCUAGACUAGAUCAUGCAUUUCGUAUUGCUCAGGAACAAUUGGGUAUUGAACGUUUGUUGGAUCCAGAAGACGUGAAUACAUCGGUGCCGGAUAAAAAAUCAAUAAUGAUGUACGUUAUGUGUCUUUUUCAAUCAUUACCUCAUUCUGGAGAUGAUAUAGGCGAAUUAGAUCUAUCAGUAGCAAGUGAUAGUAGCCCGGUUACUACUCCGGGAGCAGAGAAUACAUUAUCUUUUACAAAUUUUGGAACACCAACAUCACGACCGAUGAGUCUUGCAACAAACGUAUCGGUAGAACUUGGUGGUUAUCAAGUUGCUCUCGAGGAAGUUUUGACUUGGCUUUUGGAGGCAGAAGAUAAAUUAAAUCAUGCUCCAGAUCCUGGAUCUACUUUAGAAGUAUUAAAGCAACAAUUUCACGAACACGAAUCAUUUUUGGUAGAAUUAUCCGGCCAUCAAGAUGGUGUUGGUGCUGUAUUGGAAGAAGGUGCGAGAUUAUUAGCGGAAGGCGGUUUACAUAAGGAUGAAGAACACGAAGUUCGUGUUCAAAUGUCAUUAUUAAAUUCUCGAUGGGAAGGACUUCGAAUGCGUGCAAUGGAAAGACAAACUAAAAUUCAUGAGGUUCUUAUGCAAAUGCAACAAGGUCAGUUAGAUGCAUUACGACAAUGGUUAACAAGAACUGAAGAUAGAAUUUCGCGAAUGGCAGCUAUUGAAUUAAAUCAAUCUGCCUUAGAUGAACAACUGAAACAAUUGAAUGAACUAGAGCAAGAUAUUGAGGCACAGCAGGGAGUUGUUGAUGGUAUGAGAAAUAUGGUAGUUGUUGUAGAUGAAGAAAAUUCUGAAGCAGUUUAUGCGCAAAUGGAAGAUCAAUUAUCUGCUCUCGGAGAGCGAUGGACUCACAUUUGUCAAUGGAAAGAAGAAAGGAGACAACGUUUGCAGGCUCUUUCUUCACUUUGGCAAAAUGUUAAUGAUGACUAUAAAAGAUUAGUGUCAUGGUUGAAUGAAACUGAAAUUACUUUAAAACAAAUGGAAGCAAAUCCUGCUUCCGAAAUUGGUGAAGUACUUGAAAGAAUUAAAAAAUUACAAAUAUUAAAAAUGGAUAUGGAUGAAAAUCAAAGAAAAUUAAUGUCCUUACAAGAAUCAAUUCAAGAACUGGAAGGACAAAAUACUUCACCAGAAUGUAUUAAUAUACUAGAAAAAAUCGAAAAUUUGCAAGAUCGAUGGGAAGCAGUGGGACAAAUAAUGGAAGUGCAGACACAAAGGAUAACAAAUUCGGGAUUUGAAUUCGAUUUGAAGACUGAGAGGGAAACAACUGUAGUUACAGGCAAUGAAUGGAUGUCGGAAACAGUAACAAGUAUCGCUUAUAAAGAAGAAAUUACUGCAACUUCUACACCUCAUAGUGAUUCAAAGAAACGUCGCGUAGAUAGUACAAGUAGACAUGAAUUUGAGUCAGCAUUACAUAAUCUGUAUAAAUGGCUCGAUUAUGUUGAUUUAGAAAUUGGACGAUCGGAGGGAGUAUUUGACGAAUUAAGUAUCGAAGAAAAGAAAGUUGUUUAUAAUGAUACAAUUGCUGAUAUAGAAGCACAUAAAAAUGAUUAUGACAAAGUUUUAGAAUUGGGGAAGCAACUUCUCGAAGAAUUAAAAAAUGCUAAUGAAUCGAUUGAAACAGAUGAAACAAAAAUUAAAGAUAUACAGAAUUGUUGGAUGGCAACUAAUAGUAGACUUGAAGAAAUAAGAAAUCGUAUAGAAUAUCUAGAAGAAGUAAAAAAAUUUCGAACAGAACUGGCUAGUUUGAAUUUAAUGUUAGAUAGCUAUUCUAAAUGGUUUGAUUCAAACAAAGGAAACAAUCAAGUGGAACCAUUUAGAGUGAAAUUGAAAUCAAUGAAAUCUCAUGAAGAGCGUAUAAAAAAAUUGUUAGAAAAAGCCAAAGAAUUAUCAGAAAAUCAAACUGGUAUUAAUGAAACUAUCAAUUUAAAUGAAGAUAUACAAAUGUUUGUUUGUAACUGGGAAAAAUUAUAUAAAACAUUAUCUGAAAAAUUAACUGAAUUAAAUGAUGCUGUUGAUAAAACACCGCCGAAGAAAUAUACAGAUGCAGUUACUAAUCUCACUUCUUUUAUUAAUAAUGUGGAAAGUAUGUUAUUAUCAGAACAUAUAGUAAUGUCAGAUGAUAAGACAAUGACAGAACAAUUACGAAAAUUCAGCGAUUUGCAAAAUUCUUUGAGAGAGCAUCAAGAAGUUUAUAAUUAUGUGAACAGUGUUGGACAUGAAUUAAUAAUGAAGACCAAUGGAGAUUCUCAGGGUCAAAGACUUAAAGAUGCAUUACAAGAUCUUAUUACUAAAUGGAGCGAUAUACCCAUAAUAUUAGAAGAACGUCAACAAAAUUUGCAAAAAGAUAUUCAAUCUUUAAAAAUAUUCAAUAAUGAGCUUACAGAGCUUGAAAAUUGGCUUGAAAAAUCAAGCCAAUAUUUAGAAGAAUUAUCAAAAGAUAAUGUAUCAAAUGAUAUUGAAACUAUGGAAUUUAAAUUAAAACAGAUUCAAUCUUUUUGUGAAGAUAUAAAUGAAAUGAAACCAAAAAUAGAAAAACUCCAAAUUUCUACAAAUAAAUUACUUGAAAAUUCUGAACCAAAAUUUGCAAAUGUGUUAAACAAUAAGUUAGAAGUUGUAUCGCAUAAAUGGAAUGCUAUCGUUGACGGUGCUAAAAGUUUAAAUGAUAAGUAUGAGGAUACAUUGAAAAAAAAUGAUGAAAUAAUAAAUGGAAUAGAAGACUUUACAAAAUGGUUAUCAACUUUAGAAAAAGAAAUACCAAUUGAAACCAAAAUAACAUCUUCUGUUGAACUGUUUCAAGUUCGUGGUCGAUAUCAAUCAUUAAAAGAAAAGAUAGAUAAGCGAGUAGAAGAAUUUAGAAAUCUCAAUGAAAUGGGCAAUGAUAAAUUAUUAAGUUCUGAAGGAUCUUCAGUGCAAGAACUUGGUAGACGAUUUACAUUUUUAAAUGCUCGUUGGACCGAUGUUACAGAUCGUAUUUAUGAACGAUAUAGACAUUUACAAAAUGCUAGCCACGAAUAUGGUGAAUUCCGUGCUUUAGUUGCACAAGAAAGUGAUUGGUUGGAUAAAUUAGAUAAAAGAUUAAGAAGAUCAACAGAAAGAGCUGCAGAUGCUGAAGAAAUAUCAGAAGAACUUGAUGAUUUAGAAAAUUAUAUACGAAAUCAUCCAGAAUUAAGACUUGAAAAGAUACAAGAAAUAGGUAAACAGUUGAUUGAAAGUAAUAUCAUGAUUCAGUCCAUUCAAACAGAUGUAGACAAUUUAACAAAUCGUUGGGAAAGCUUAAAUAAUCAGGCAGGGCAGCGAGCAAAGCUGCUAGAAGGAUCAGUGAAGCAAGCACAACAAUCAGAAGGACGUAUUCUUGCCCUUCAGCAUUCCUUAACACAAAUAGAUUCUGUACUAACAGCACGUCUUGACUGCGACCUUACAGCUGAUGAUUUGCCUCAUGAUUAUCAGAAAUUAAUGGAAGAAAUGGAACAUCAACGAUCUACACUUCAAGAAAUGGCAUUACAAAUUGAAUCCUACAAGGCUUCUGGAAAACAAGAAGCAGCACUCAGAUUACAAGAACAACUAACUCUCAUUGAACAGAAAUUCUCUGAAGUUCAACAGAAAUUUCAACGUUUUCGAUGUCCAACGAAUUUAGAACCAAGAUUAUCCAGAGCUUUACGAGAACUUAGAGGAAUAGAAGAAGCAACUUGUUUAUUAGAACUGUCAUCAGAAGAUCCAGAAGCUAUUGAAGGUCAACUUAAACAUUGUCUGCGUUUUUAUCAAACAUUAAGUGAAAUUAAAAGUGAAAUAGAAAAUAUUAUAAUAACUGGUAGAAAAUUAGUUGAAGAAAAAAGUGUCACUGAACCAGAGAAAUUUUCGCGACGAAUUGAUAUGUUAAAAGAAUUAUAUAAUAAGUUGGGUUUACAUAUAACUGAAUCAAAAGCAUGUUUGGAAACAGCAUUGGAUUUAUCACGCGAUAUGUAUAAAAAUAUGUCUUAUAUUAAUAUGUCUAUAGAUAGUAUUAAUAAAGAAUUAGAUAAUCAAAAAAAUAUGCCUGAUCUUCCAGUUAAUGCGAUAUAUGUACGAGAAACCUUGACAGAAGUAAUACCACGAUUAAACGUUGUAAAAGAUAAAUUGUUAAAUUCACAGGAUGAAUUUUCUAAACUUUGCGAUCCUAUGUAUUUAGAACAACUUAAAGAAAAAUUAUCAGAUGUUGUUAUUAGAUUAGCAAAUACUGAAAAAAGAUUAAGAUUAUGUAAUGCUUCAGAGGAAGAGCCUAAUGUUGAUGAAAUAAAAGCAUGGCUUUUACAAGUUGAGGAAAAACUAAAUAAAUUAGAUAGUGUUCCGGUUGAUCAAUUGACGGAAAAUCACUUUGAACAAUGCAAAGCUGUUCAAAGCGAAAUGAUUGAAGCAAAACCAAAAGUCAACCAACUACAACGUUAUACUUAUUACCCGAAAGUUUCAGAUGUUUGUAAAAAAUGGGAGGAUAUAUCUAAUAGAAUUCAAAUACAGACUGAAAAAUUAUCACAAGAAACACAACAUAAAAUAGAGACGAAGAUUUCUAGUGAUAAGAGACCUUUUAAAAUUUCAACUAGUUUAUCCAGAACAGGCUUAGAAAAAAGUAUUUUGGAAUUUGAACAAGCUGCACAACGGAUGUUACAUAGAAUGGAUGUCAUGUUGAUGAGCAUCAGUGGAAUCAGUAAUGAAAAAGAUCCAACUAAACGACUUGAAGUACUAAAAGGAGAAGUUAGUACUCUUGCUCCAGAUGCAGCAGCUUUGAUUAGUAAAGGUGAUGGACUAGUUAUGACAGUACAUAUAUCUGAUCCUGUUAGAGCUGAGAAGAUAAAAAAUGAACAUCAAGAUAAAUUAAGAAGCAAAUGGCAUCAAGUUAUGUCCGAAAUAGAAACGAGACGCACACAAGCACAAAGAGGAGAGGAAAUGUUAAGACAAUAUAAUGCCAUAAUAACAGAAUUUGAAGAUUGGUUUCGAGAUGUACCAUUAAAACUUGAACAAGUAAAUAAUUAUGAGGGGCAAUUAGAAUCUUUUACUGUAGAAUUUGAUGCUAAACAAGAACAGAUUAAAAAAUUAAAUGAAUUAGCGGUUGAAUUAAAAAAAUUAAAUAUUGGGUAUGCUGAAACUAUAAGAUAUAGCAUUAACAGUAGGUGGCAAGAAGUUAGUUCACAAUUUAAAAGAUUUAGUGGUAGUAAGGAUAAGGACAAACAUGUGACAGACAAAAAAGUUGAAGUGGAUGUUGGAGGAGUUGAUAUGCAAGAAUUUACUGCCAGAGUUAAUAAGAUUAGAGAAGCUGUUGUAACUGUAACGAGAUCUUUAAAUUCUGUGCCAUUGAAUGGUGAUGAUUAUGAAAUUUUUUCAAAUCAAGAAGAAUGUUUAAAAAAAAUUAAUAACGCAUUAAAUAUUUUAAAACCAAGCAUUGAAGAAAUCAAUACUAUUUUUGAAAAUGUUGCUUCACAGUUAAGAAGAGAGCAAGGCGAACAAAUUAGACGUUUGAGUGAUAAAUUACGAGAUGAAUGGAUAAAUGUUAAUCAAAGUUAUGUAGAAAGAUAUAAUCGUUGGAAUAAAUGUUAUGAAAAAUGGAAAGAACUUUGCAACACAUGUCGGUCUUUUUCUGAUUGGUUAGAUAAAACGGAAGAUUCAUUAAAAAAAUUAAAUUCUCUUGGUCAAUCUAAAAUAUCAAGAACAAAAAUAUUUGAAUUGGAACAAGAGAUUUCUAGGAUGCAAAGAAUUAUGAAUAAUAUUAACGUUUCAAGUGCUAGUAUUUUAACUCGCGCUAAAGCUGAAGAUAUGAUGGAAUUAAGAGAAAUGAUUGAAACUAUAAAACGACGUUGGCAAAAUAUUAUAACGGACUUAAAUACACGAAAAGAGAAGAAUUUUGCUAUGGAAAAGAAAGUGAACAAUGAAGGCAGAAUUUUAGAAAGUGCUCAUAAUAUAUUAGAGCAAAUCAAUUCUUUAUUGGUGUCAGCAGCAAAUCCUUCAGAUGAGACUUCUUUAUCAAUAAGAUUGUCAUUAAUUAAGGCUAGACAAGAAGAACUUUCUUCUCGCAAAAGAUCAUUACAGAAUUUAAUAAUAAAUCAAAAUGAUAUUUCUUUGGGAGAAGAUGAAUGUAAUAAAUUACUUUCAGAUAUGGAUAAGGCUAAUAUAAGCCUUUCCAAUCACCGUGACUAUGUUGAGAAUAAACUUGUAUCUCUUAAAAAAUAUAUUUGUACUUUGGAUACUAUUAUGGCUUGGGUCAUGGAAACUAGAGCGAGAAUAAAUAUAUCCCGAGAAUUACCUCAACAAGAACGAAUCGAAAUUAUUAACAAUAUUAUGACCAAAGUUGAAGAUCGAGAAAUGGAAGUAAAGGAUGUAUUAGAAAAUUAUACUAAUUUAGAGAAAGAAUGCGAAUCUGCAAAACAACCUAUUUCUGUAGAAUUACAAGAAAAGUUAAAAAAAUUACGAGAAGAUUGGCAAUUUGUGAAAAACAAUGGAGAAUUAUCAAAUUAUGAUGUCAAAACUGCAAUUGCUAUUGGAACGGCGUCAUCAGGGAUCGAAGUGGAAAAGACCGCAGGAGCAGGACCGGGGGCAUCGGGUGCAACUGCGGGGGGCCCUCGGGGGUUGACACCUUCCCCUGCCCCCUCAACACCCUCGACCCCCGUCACCACCACUAGUCCUUCGGUCUGCACAUCCUCGCCUUCGUCCUCGCCUUCACCCUCCUCCUCGCCCUCUGCUCUUGUAGCGGGCUUUGACAAAUCGGUGCUACAGAUACGCGACUGGCUAGCUGUGGAAGAAGAGAUGUUACGGAAACAAGCUGUGGUCGUCGGCGAUGUCGGCGAAAUUAUGGAGGCGCUUGAUAAACAAAUGGAUGUCCUACGAGAGCUGGGGCAGAAAAAGCCGCAGUUGGACGAGCUGGUGCACACGGCGGAAGCGCUUCGCGCGGACACGAAUAGACAGCAAGUGCACGGCAAAGCCUCGAUCCUGUUCUCCGGUAUCCUGUCGCGAAACAUCGUGCACAUGCGUUGCAUCAUCAAAGUUACGAAGCUGAGGGAGCACUGGGACGAGAUGAACUCGAAAAUGAUGCAGAGGAAGACGGAGUUGGACGCGAUGCUCGGGGACAGCCAGCGAUACGAGGCGAAAAGGAACGAGGUGGAGGUCUGGUUGGCGCGAAUGGAGACUCGGCUUGAGAAAAUGCGGGCCGUCGGCCACACCGCCGACGUUCUCGAGGCCCAGCUCCGGGAACAAAAGUCGUUCCACGCCGAGCUCCACCAGUACAAGCAUCAGAUCGAGCAGUUCAAUCAGCUCACGCAGAAGCUGAUCGCCGUUUAUCAAGAGGACGACACGACCCGCGUGAAAAAGAUGACCGAGACCAUCAAUCAGAGAUACAACAACCUCAACACCAGCAUCAUCAAUCGAGGAAAACUGCUUCACUCCGCGAUGAACUCCCUCCACAACUUCGACCGGUCCCUGGACAAGUUCUUGGCUUGGUUGAGCGAAGCUGAGUCCUCGAUGGAGGGAUUGGAAGCGGAGGCCGAUCGUCUAGGCGGGCGACGAGACCAGGGUGCGCUCAGACGACCGCAACAUCAGCUUAAGGUACGUAAGGCGGAGCGAUUCCCUUUUUACUCAUCUCGCCUAUCGGACCUGCAAUCGGAAAUCGAGACGCACCGAGACGUGUACACGUCGUUGAACGGCACAGGCAGGAAGCUGUUGAGCUCUUUGGCGAGCCAAGAUGACGCGGUUAUGCUGCAACGACGACUGGACGAGAUGAACCAGCGAUGGCAUCACUUGAAAGCGAAAAGUAUGGCGAUAAGAAACCGGUUGGAAAGCAAUACGGAACACUGGAACGCUCUUCUGUUGUCUUUGCGCGAGCUUAUCGAAUGGGUGAUCAGAAAAGACACCGAGCUCACCGGUUUGGGCCCUGUUUGCGGGGAUGUAGCCGCCUUACAAAAACAAGAGGACGAUCAUCGCGGGUUCAGGAGGCAGCUCGAGGACAAACGACCGAUCGUCGAGAACAAUUUGCUGAGCGGACGGCAGUACAUCGCCAACGAGCCUCCCCUCUCUGACACGUCGGAUUCCGAAGCCGGAAGAGAAUUGGAUGGCGAUUCGAGGGGCUACAGAAGCGCGGAGGAGCAGGCACGCGAAUUGACGCGCAGCAUUCGCCGGGAAGUGAACAAACUUUCAGAGCAGUGGAACGCCCUAAUCGAACGUAGCGAUGCGUGGAAGCGGAAACUCGACGACACCGCUAACAAAAUAUGCGUGUUCCAAAAGACGCUGGAGGAUCUUUCGUCGCGGAUGGCCGGCGCCGAGGCGAUUCAAAGCGGGUGGCAGAAUCCAAGCGACGCGAACGAGGCGACGGAAUUGCUGAAGCAAUUGGAGAAAUUCGGCGAACGACUGUUGCCCAUCCAGAGGAGCAUCGAGUACGCGAACGAUCAAGCGAGCGUCUUCGCCUCGAGCAGCGUCAUCGUUUCUCAUGCUUUGCUGGCGAAACUCGAAGAUCUCAACACCAGGUGGAAGGUGCUGCAAGUGGCGGUUGACGAGCGUUACAAGUUGCUAAGCGGAUUUGGAAAGGAUGGCAGCACUCCGGGUAGCCAGGCUUUCCUCGCGAGCAGCGUGGAACCACCAUGGGAGAGAGCCCUCACACCCGCCAAAGUGCCUUACUAUAUCAACCAUCAGUCGGAGACCACCCAUUGGGAUCAUCCGAAAAUGAUAGAGCUGAUGUCCUCGCUGGCGGACCUGAACGAAGUACGAUUUUCAGCGUACAGAACCGCCAUGAAACUGCGCACCGUUCAGAAACGAUUGUGCCUGGACAUGUUGAGCCUUUCCACCGCGUUAGAGCAAUUCGAUUCGCACGGGCUCCGAGCGCAAAACGACAAACUAAUCGACAUUCCCGACAUGGUGACAGUCUUGACGUCCCUGUACGAAGUGAUAACGGCGGACAACCCGACGCAAGUGUCUGUCCCCUUGUGCAUCGAUUUGGCCAUCAAUUGGCUCCUCAACGUGUACGAUAGUAAAUUGUCAUUGUCGUAUUUCAGUCAACGAACCGGUCAGAUUCGCGUGCUUUCCUUCAAAGUUGGUUUGGUCCUGUUGUGCAAGGGUCAUUUGGAAGAAAAAUAUCGAUAUCUAUUCCGGCUGAUCGCUGAUCCAAACAGAUUGGUGGAUCAACGAAAGCUCGGUUUAUUGUUGCACGACUGCAUCCAAGUGCCGAGGCAGUUGGGAGAAGUGGCGGCGUUUGGCGGGUCGAACAUCGAGCCGAGCGUUCGCAGCUGCUUCGAGAAGGCUGGAAAAGACAAAAAUGAAAUAGAAGCGGUUCACUUUUUGAGCUGGCUGCAACAAGAGCCGCAGAGUAUGGUUUGGUUGCCUGUGCUUCAUAGACUCUCCGCCGCGGAGAGCGCAAAGCAUCAAGCGAAAUGUAAUAUAUGCAAGGAGUAUCCCAUUAUUGGAUUCAGGUAUUCAUGUGCUUGAAAUGCUUCAAUUUCGACAUGUGCCAGAACUGUUUCUUCUCAGGCAGGAAAGCGAAGAACCACAAGUUGACGCAUCCGAUGCAGGAAUAUUGCACCGCGACCACAUCUGGCGAGGACGUGCGCGACUUUACGAGAGCGCUUCGGAAUAAAUUCAAGUCGAAGAGAUACUUCAAAAAGCAUCCAAGAGUCGGUUAUCUGCCGGUGCAGACCGUUUUGGAGGGAGACGCGUUGGAAAGCCCGGCGCCGUCGCCGCAACAUAGCUCCCUCAGCCAGGACAUGCACUCCCGGCUGGAGAUGUACGCAUCCCGGUUGGCGGAAGUCGAACUAUCGCGCACAAGAAGCAACUCGACACCGGACAGCGAUGACGAGCAUCAGCUGAUCGCUCAUUAUUGCCAGAGCUUGAACGGGGGC
Molecule: unclassified non-coding RNA, 10646 nt
Filed under: Apis dorsata (giant honeybee)
Lineage: Eukaryota; Metazoa; Arthropoda; Insecta; Hymenoptera; Apidae
Description: dystrophin, isoforms A/C/F/G/H-like, transcript variant X5
Source: RNAcentral